RNAcentral lists this ribosomal RNA (497 nucleotides) under uncultured bacterium. Its description in RNAcentral is "partial 16S ribosomal RNA". It matches the Rfam family "Bacterial small subunit ribosomal RNA", at positions 28 to 507 of the family's 1533-position model. The record is from RNAcentral.
GAUGAACGCUGGCGGCGUGCCUAAUACAUGCAAGUCGAGCGAACAGACGAGGAGCUUUCUCCUCUGACGUUAGCGGCGGACGGGUGAGUAACACAUGGAUAACCUACCUAUAAGACUGGGGUAACUUCGGGAAACAGGAGCUAAUACCGGAUAAUAUAUUGAACGGCAUGAUUCAAUAGUGAAAGACGGUUUUGCUGUCACUUAUAGAUGGAUCCGUGUCGGAUUAGCUAGUUGGUAAGGUAACGGCUUACCAAGGCGACGAUGCGUAGCCGAACUGAGAGGGUGAUCGGCCACACUGGAACUGAGACACGGUCCAGACUCCUACGGGAGGCAGCAGUAGGGAAUCUUCCGCAAUGGGCGAAAGCCUGACGGAGCAACGCCGCGUGAGUGAUGAAGGUCUUCGGAUCGUAAAACUCUGUUAUUAGGGAAGAACAAAUGUGUAAGUAACUAUGCACGUCUUGACGGUACCUAAUCAGAAAGCCACGGCUAACUACGUG